This 597-nucleotide ribosomal RNA is filed under the name uncultured bacterium. Its description in RNAcentral is "bacterial SSU rRNA". It matches the Rfam family "Bacterial small subunit ribosomal RNA", at positions 112 to 704 of the family's 1533-position model. The record is from RNAcentral.
AAUACUUAGGAAUCUACCUAUUAAUGGGGGACAACAUUUCGAAAGGAAUGCUAAUACCGCAUACGCCCUACGGGGGAAAGCAGGGGCUCUUCGGACCUUGCGUUAAUAGAUGAGCCUAAGUCGGAUUAGCUAGUUGGUGGGGUAAAGGCCUACCAAGGCGACGAUCUGUAGCGGGUCUGAGAGGAUGAUCCGCCACACUGGGACUGAGACACGGCCCAGACUCCUACGGGAGGCAGCAGUGGGGAAUAUUGGACAAUGGGGGGAACCCUGAUCCAGCCAUGCCGCGUGUGUGAAGAAGGCCUUUUGGUUGUAAAGCACUUUAAGCGAGGAGGAGGCUACUCUAGUUAAUACCUAGAGCUAGUGGACGUUACUCGCAGAAUAAGCACCGGCUAACUCUGUGCCAGCAGCCGCGGUAAUACAGAGGGUGCGAGCGUUAAUCGGAUUUACUGGGCGUAAAGCGUGCGUAGGUGGCCAAUUAAGUCAAAUGUGAAAUCCCCGAGCUUAACUUGGGAAUUGCAUUCGAUACUGGCUGGCUAGAGUAUGGGAGAGGAUGGUAGAAUUCCAGGUGUAGCGGUGAAAUGCGUAGAGAUCUGGAGG